Molecule: ribosomal RNA, 492 nt
Filed under: uncultured bacterium
Lineage: Bacteria
Description: partial 16S ribosomal RNA
Rfam family: Bacterial small subunit ribosomal RNA
Source: RNAcentral
AGUGAACGCUGGCGGUAGGCCUAACACAUGCAAGUCGAACGGCAGCACAGUAAGAGCUUGCUCUUACGGGUGGCGAGUGGCGGACGGGUGAGGAAUACAUCGGAAUCUACUUUUUCGUGGGGGAUAACGUAGGGAAACUUACGCUAAUACCGCAUACGACCUACGGGUGAAAGCAGGGGAUCUUCGGACCUUGCGCGAUUGAAUGAGCCGAUGUCGGAUUAGCUAGUUGGCGGGGUAAAGGCCCACCAAGGCGACGAUCCGUAGCUGGUCUGAGAGGAUGGUCGGCCACACUGGAACUUGGACACGGUCCAGACUCCUACGGGAGGCAGCAGUGGGGAAUAUUGGACAAUGGGCGCAAGCCUGAUCCAGCCAUCCCGCGUGGGUGAAGAAGGCCUUCGGGUUGUAAAGCCCUUUUGUUGGGAAAGAAAAGCAGCAGGUUAAUACCCCGCUGUUCUGACGGUACCCAAAGAAUAAGCACCGGCUAACUUCGUG